GACGAACGCUGGCGGCGUGCCUAAUACAUGCAAGUAGAACGCUGAAGCUUGGUGCUUGCACCGAGCGGAUGAGUUGCGAACGGGUGAGUAACGCGUAGGUAACCUGCCUGGUAGCGGGGGAUAACUAUUGGAAACGAUAGCUAAUACCGCAUAAGAGUAGAUGUUGCAUGACAUUUGCUUAAAAGGUGCAAUUGCAUCACUACCAGAUGGACCUGCGUUGUAUUAGCUAGUUGGUGAGGUAACGGCUCACCAAGGCAACGAUACAUAGCCGACCUGAGAGGGUGAUAGGCCACACUGGGACUGAGACACGGCCCAGACUCCUACGGGAGGCAGCAGUAGGGAAUCUUCGGCAAUGGACGGAAGUCUGACCGAGCAACGCCGCGUGAGUGAAGAAGGUUGUCGGAUCGUAAAGCUCUGUUGUAAGAGAAGAACGAGUGUGAGAGUGGAAAGUUCACACUGUGACGGUAUCUUACCAGAAAGGGACGGCUAACUACGUG
This 497-nucleotide ribosomal RNA is filed under the name uncultured bacterium. RNAcentral describes it as "partial 16S ribosomal RNA". It matches the Rfam family "Bacterial small subunit ribosomal RNA", at positions 28 to 507 of the family's 1533-position model. The record is from RNAcentral.